This 457-nucleotide long non-coding RNA is filed under the name Androctonus crassicauda. Lineage: Eukaryota; Metazoa; Arthropoda; Arachnida; Scorpiones; Buthidae. The record is from RNAcentral.
AGCGAAUUGCCAAACUACCAUACACAAUCCGGCUGCAACACUUUCACACUUGCACGCAACAGAGAGACGUCCAGACUUUCGCAGUUAGACUACAGUCUCUUGUGGCGGAGACACAGAUAGAAAUAGCAAGCGCCAGCGAACAAAAACAAGUGGUGAUAGAACAAUGACAAAAAAGGAAAUGGACAAGUGGUUGCGAAUACAAUUUCUCAAUGGGAUUAAUGACAGGAUCAAGCAGACUGUUAUGUCCCAGGAUCCAAAAACUUUUGAAGAAGCACUGCUAAUAGCCACGUGUGAAGAAUUAAUCAAGCAAGUAGUUGGCAAGCUGUGUCCAUACAUAGGCAAGAUUGAAGAAGUCAGUGAGUUCAACAUUGCCACAGUGGCAGUAGACCCAGUUGGGCAAGUUGAGUGCGAGACCGAAAAUUUACAGUUGGUGAUAAAGCAAAUUAAUGAAUGGCUU